RNAcentral lists this ribosomal RNA (256 nucleotides) under uncultured bacterium. RNAcentral describes it as "partial 16S ribosomal RNA". It matches the Rfam family "Bacterial small subunit ribosomal RNA", at positions 521 to 776 of the family's 1533-position model. The record is from RNAcentral.
UAAUACGGAGGGUGCGAGCGUUAAUCGGAAUUACUGGGCGUAAAGGGUGCGUAGGUGGUUUGAUAAGUUAUCUGUGAAAGCCCUGGGCUCAACCUGGGAAGGCCAGAUAAGACUGUGAGACUCGAGUACAGGAGAGGGCAGUGGAAUUUCCGGUGUAGCGGUGAAAUGCGUAGAGAUCGGAAGGAACACCAGUGGCGAAGGCGGCUGCCUGGCCUGAUACUGACACUGAGGCACGAAAGCGUGGGGAGCAAACAGG